RNAcentral lists this ribosomal RNA (444 nucleotides) under uncultured bacterium. RNAcentral's name for it is "partial 16S ribosomal RNA". It matches the Rfam family "Bacterial small subunit ribosomal RNA", at positions 354 to 796 of the family's 1533-position model. The record is from RNAcentral.
GUAGGGAAUAUUGGGCAAUGGUCGGAAGACUGACCCAGCCAUGCCGCGUGCAGGAAGACGGCCCUCUGGGUUGUAAACUGCUUUUAUCUGGGAAGAAAAAGGCCAUGCGUGGCAAAUUGCCGGUACCAGAUGAAUAAGCACCGGCUAACUCCGUGCCAGCAGCCGCGGUAAUACGGAGGGUGCGAGCGUUGUCCGGAUUUAUUGGGUUUAAAGGGUGCGUAGGCGGCUGAUUAAGUCAGCGGUGAAAGACUUCGGCUUAACCGGAGCAGUGCCGUUGAUAGUGGUUGGCUUGAGUGUCGGAGGGGUACAUGGAAUUGAUGGUGUAGCGGUGAAAUGCAUAGAUACCAUCAGGAACACCGAUAGCGAAGGCAUUGUACUGGCCGACAACUGACGCUGAUGCACGAAAGUGUGGGGAUCGAACAGGAUUAGAAACCCUUGUAGUCC